This is a non-coding RNA of Plasmodium vivax (malaria parasite P. vivax), 73 nucleotides long. Lineage: Eukaryota; Apicomplexa; Aconoidasida; Haemosporida; Plasmodiidae. The record is from the annotation of a RefSeq genome assembly.
GUCUUAUGUACCGAAGGUCGUGGGUUCGAAACCCACAUGGAUCAUCAGUUAAGAAGCGUUUUGGAAGGAGGAA